AGCUCCAACCGAUAGAUCCGAACUCUCUGGCAAGUCACGGCAAUAGCCACUACCUUGCUCCACUCUCUGCAAUAGAUUUCGCGUGGCUCCACUACUCUCUGGCAAGUCGCGACAACGGACACCACCCCACUCUCCGAGCUCUACCACUCCCUGGCAAGUUGCGACAAUGGACACCACUCCACUCUCCAUAACAAACUCCACGUAGCCCUGAAUGACCCCUG
This 221-nucleotide long non-coding RNA is filed under the name Elaeis guineensis (African oil palm). RNAcentral describes it as "long non-coding RNA (EGUI_LNC074522)". The record is from RNAcentral. Lineage: Eukaryota; Viridiplantae; Streptophyta; Magnoliopsida; Arecales; Arecaceae.